UCCCUGGUCACUCAGAGGUUAAAGCGUCUGCCUGGAAUGCAGGAGACCUGGGUUCAAUCCCUAGGUUGGGAA
This 72-nucleotide transfer RNA is filed under the name Bos taurus (domestic cattle). It matches the Rfam family "tRNA". Rfam says of the family: Transfer RNA (tRNA) molecules are approximately 80 nucleotides in length. Their secondary structure includes four short double-helical elements and three loops (D, anti-codon, and T loops). RNAcentral also lists the same sequence under 2 other names. The record is from Rfam by way of RNAcentral. Lineage: Eukaryota; Metazoa; Chordata; Mammalia; Artiodactyla; Bovidae.